Molecule: long non-coding RNA, 234 nt
Filed under: Elaeis guineensis (African oil palm)
Lineage: Eukaryota; Viridiplantae; Streptophyta; Magnoliopsida; Arecales; Arecaceae
Description: long non-coding RNA (EGUI_LNC032783)
Source: RNAcentral
CCCUCAAAUCUCUUGUUCAGGUAAGGAGUUUUCAGAUCUUUCUUCUUGACCUCUUGCGAUUUGCAGUAUCUGAUGGUUUGGUAUAAUCUUUGUGUAGGUUGGGCAUUACUUAGCCAGCUUUGUCAGCUCUACCUCUAAGGCUUCAGUGCUAGAGCUUACAGCAGUGAAGGAGAAAAUCGAUUGGCUGAAAUAUCUUUUGGAACAGGUAGAGAAGACUAAUGCCGAGCUGACCAA